Herpailurus yagouaroundi (jaguarundi) is the source of this 918-nucleotide long non-coding RNA. RefSeq lists it as uncharacterized. NCBI's taxonomy places the organism in Eukaryota, Metazoa, Chordata, Mammalia, Carnivora, Felidae. The transcript has 3 exons. The record is from RefSeq and is a predicted model, not a curated record.
AUCAUGACCUGAGCUGAAGUUGGAGGCUUACCGGACUGAACCACCCAGAUUGGUUUUCCCUCCAAACUGUGCUUUGAAUUCUGUUAUCUCCAAGGUUGGAGCUGGAGCGGGAGUUGGGAUUACAGAAAGUGUGGAGGAAGGCACAACUUUGUAGCUGGUGGAUACGGUGUCAGCUCUGUGGGCUCAAUCGAAUUCUCAAGGCCUUGCACCAAGAACAAAGGUCGGAAAGAGAAGUUUGUUCACAGUUCCUGACUGAACGGGGAGAAGACAUUUAAUGGAAACAUGAACCUCAUGCCUGGGUCUCCUGGAACUUGUAGCUGAACCUAGGAGUUUGUGGCCAAGCCUACCAACUACAUCCCCCAACGAUGUCUUCUCUUUUGGCACGUUGGUCAUGGAGUCGGGAGAGGAGAGCACCCAGUCCAUUCUUAUCUUUAAAGAGAGAAGAAACAGCGAAGUCUGUGACAUUCAGGUUUCUGUGCCCUCUCUCCUCUCACUGGUCAUCUUGCCCAGCUCAGCAGACUGUGCAUACCCAGCUCACUAACCAGAGAACUGGCUAGCUCAGGCAGCUGGCAAGUCAAGAGUGUGCUCAAGUGUGGUUGUCAAGAGUGGUACAGCCGAUCUCCCACAUCUUAGCCUUUUCUGAGCACCUGAGCCCUGCGGUAGCAUCAGACUGGGCGGCACAAACGGGCGUGCAGCCAGGAAUCAGUCGGUGGGAACACGACAUGCGCAGUUCUGCGGUGACCACACCCUGUAGCUUUCUGUCCUUUGUCCUUUCAAUAAACAUAGAUGGAGCAUCUCCUAUAUAUCGGGCACUAGGGAUUCUUGGGGGAUACAGGUAUGAAUGUAACAUGAUCCUUGACCCAAGGAACUUCUAGUUUUCAUGGGAGACAAGCAUAUAAAUGAAACCUUCCAACAGAC